This 4906-nucleotide long non-coding RNA is filed under the name Sus scrofa (pig). RNAcentral's name for it is "lncRNA (ENSSSCG00060043251.1)". The record is from RNAcentral. Lineage: Eukaryota; Metazoa; Chordata; Mammalia; Artiodactyla; Suidae.
AUUAUAGUUGGUUUACAGUAUUCUGUCAAUUUUCUACUGUACAGCAAGGAGACCCAGGCACACAUACAUAUAAUUCUUUUUCUCACAUUAUUCUCUAUCAUGCUCCAUCACGAAUAACUAGAUAUAGUUCUCUGUGCUAUACAGCAGAAUCUCAUUGCUUUUCCAUUCCAAAGAACAACCAGAAUAAUCCACGUUUCAAUAUGGCAUUUUUCAUCUCCUCUGAAAAUGCUGUGAGUUUAGAAAUGGCAUUGCUGGUCAAAGGGAAAUGCUGCACCUUGGACAAAAUAGCCAGUGAUCUCAUAUCAGGAGCUGCCAACCCCUCCCACCAAUGGGAGGAUUUCCUUCAUGCCCCAAGAAAUCACAGAUUUUGUAUAGCAGGCGAUCAGAAGGGUGGGAAUCAAGCCAGUAUUUAACACUGAGUGCUGUGGGUGGGACUCCCCAGGGAUGUUCUAAUAAGGCGACACAAGCUUUGAAGAAAGAAAAAAAAAAAAAAACUUGUUUAAGACAGCUGGCUAAUCUUCUUGGGUGAAUCAAGUUGCAACCAACUUGAAAAGACUUGGUAAGAAUAGCUAUGUACCCUUGACAGAAUGCCCCAUUAAUACUAUUUUUAAAAAUACCUAGAGACUUAACAUUUUUAUAAAAAUAACCUGGUAUUCUUUGUAUCCAAGUGUGACCCAUUAGAGGAGAAAUUUAUGGCAGAUCUGUUCCCCAGUGAUCGCCUAAAAAUGUGACUAGAGAGACACUUGCUUCUCAAUGUAGGGUAAAAGCUAGCACAUCAAAGUGGAAACAAUAUUUUGCAAAGUUUUCCUCCAAGGAGGAGCACAGUUUUUUGAAAGUCUGCUGUAAGCAGAGGAACCGUCUUCUAAUGUUGAAGGAGGCAAAGAAAUAAUUCAAGUUUUUUAUUCCCAUGUAGGAACAACAGACACAAUAUACUUAAAAGCAUAUAAUAGGGCAGGACUUAGGAUAAUCUUUGUGUGUUACAAAUCAGAUGUAUUUAAACGAAUCAUUGUAUGAUUACAUGUAAAUGAUUACAUGAUUAUAUUAUAAAACAUUUCAAUACUCAUCUUAUUGCUGUCUCUCCUUUGCUGGCUUUGAAGGAGCAAGCAGUUAUCUUAGGAAGCCCCAUGUGGGAAGAAAUUAUAGGAUGCCUCAAGGAGUUAAGGGCAGUCUCUAGCCCUUAACUGAAGAAGGGCUAGAAGAAAGAAAGAAGGCAAAUGCAAGGAGCUGAAAUCUUCCAACAACUACCUGAGCUUGGAAGUGGAUCCUUCCACAGUCAAGUCUCAAAUGAGACCACAUCCUUGGCUGACACCUUGAUUGCAGCCUUGUAAAACCCUGAAGCAGAGAACCCACUUACACCAUGCUUAGACUCCUAGCUCAUAGAAAUUGUGAGAUAAUAAAUGUGUGUUGUUUUAAGCUGCUGCGUUUGUGGAAAUAUUGUUAGACAAUGAUAGAAAACUAAGAUAAUCUGUCUCCUACAGUGGAAUGACUGUUAGUCAUUGGUGUCAGAGGAUAUAUUUAAGGGAGCCCACAAAAAAGUUAAAUGGGCAGGUAGUGGUAUAAAUACUUCAGGGUGUAGUUAAAAUGAUGCCAAGGGUCUAACUCAGACAUGACCUAUUGGCCACAUAGACUGGAGGAGGGUUUGGCAUUUAGAAGAUCUUCAUAUUCUUGCAGCAAUGCAUAUACACCUUGGAGAUACAGGACCUUAUACUCCAUGGAAGACCAGACAAUUGACUCUCUGCACUAUGCUCUCAUCAAGCUUUGAAAGGACAUUGGAAAAACCCCAUUUCCCACAUAGUUCUUAUUAGACCAGAAUGAGACCUUUAAAAAUUAACCAUAAUGCAAAUAUGGAAACAGUAGGUACAUCUUUCUCUUUAAAGCAGAGAACAGACUUCUUUAAAACAGAGGUUUCCAGGUCAUUAUUUUUCCUCUUUGUUAGCAAUAUAACAUGAGGUGGGACAAAAAAAACCACUUAAGGCAAAUUUUCUUCGACCUAUUUUGUUUUCUGCUUCUGGAGCGUGACUUCUCCAGGUUAAUAGUGCUGCUAGAUCAAGAGGUCCUUUGGAGCAACCCAAUACAGCUGAAAACAGCUCCAACAGCCGCCUGCCAGUGACAAUGAGAGGCCCACAGAGACCCACAUCUCACAUUCCCCUGUGGGAGAAGAGAUAGCUGAGCUUUUUUCCUAACCUGUGGGUAGAUAUAUUCCAAAGCUUGAUUGUGUUCAAAUUUCCUAAUGGGAACCAGGACCUCUGAUUUGUAAAGAAGCAUCUACUCUGCAAGGAAAUCAGACUAUAUGCCAUAUGAGGGAGAAUUGUGUGAACUGGCCAAGAGCACCCUGAAUCAAAGUAAUUCUAGAGGAAUCCUCAUCCCAGCUCUUUGAAAGUCACGUAACUGUUUAGAGCCUUGCUGUGAAAUCUAAGUGCAAACUCUAGCUCUAGGAUGGCUGAUAGGUCUCGGUGUUUGAUCCUAGCUUGAACUGAUUGCAAAGGAUGGCUGGAAAGCGGCCUAGGUAAAUCCACUGGGAUGCAAGAGUGGAGGGCCCCCGAGCUUGGAAGCCAAAGGACAGUGAACCAGCAGUGAGGAGGUGGGACACAUGUCCACGAUCAAACAGAAUGGUUUGCUCAAGUAGGCCUAUGGGAAGGGAACAGGCCGACUCCCAAACAAUUUUAACCUCUGUUGAAAAAAAUCUUCUUUUGUUCAGUGAACACAGUGAAGGCUAAAAAGCAACACUCUUCAAAGCCAAGUAAGGCAAGGAGGUAUUAUUGGUUUUGUGUUUGUUAGUGUUGCUUGUUUUAUUUUCACCCAUCACCAGAAGCACCCAGACUUGCUAUGGUUUUUAUGAAGAAUUCUUGCACUAUUUAAUCCUAAGCAAUGCAAUUUUGGCUAAUAUCCAGCAGGUUAAGUAGCUCUUCAAGUAGUUCUUUCAUUUUAAAGCAAACAAAUGUAGAAAAUGAUAUUUCCAGAGGGCUCCACAGUCAUUUAGAGAUACAGUGGCAAGUUAGUUUUUCCAACAUUUGCCCUGGUCUGGCCACAAUUUUACCUGAUUUUCCAUCUCCAAUAUGGCUCACGGGCAUUUUGCCUUUUGUGGUAGAAUUCCAGAAUGAAGUUGAGUUACCCACGAAGACCUUUAAACCUUAACUCUUGCCUCACUGUUAUGACGCUUUCAUUACCAAAACUUUAGAGAAAUAAUCCACUGUACUCAACUGCAGAAACUUCAGACCUACAAACUCCCAUUACUGCUUCUUGCUAAUUCCCCUGCAAGUGGCCAGUGGAGCAGUUGGGAGGGAACAGCACAUUGUGCUGCCCCUGUUUUUGUGUUGUUUUUCAUUGAAAUUAUUUGGUAUUUAAAAGAAAGAUUCCCACUGGCUGGUGUCUUCUCUAUUUCUGUUUCUAAAGUACUACCAGCUACUCAGGCCUGGCUUCUCUGGGAAUCUAACCUUCUGCCCUAUAUCCCAGGCCUCCAGGCAAUGUUUCCAUGGUUCACUGGAGCAAGUGAAGAAAAGGAAAGAGGCCAGCAAUUACAAACGGACUGUGAAUCAUUUCCUGCAGCAUAAUUAGGCUUCUAGAGUCUACAGAGGCAGUCCUAAGUCCUGAAGAAACCACUCAAUGUUUGUGGUUUAGCUACUCAAUAGAAUACGAUGCAGCCAUUCACACGAGGAGGUAGAGGCAUGUUCGACUUCAAGGAAAGCUGUGCAUUAAGCUUUGUUAGUCAUAAGCCUCUUCCUGAAGGUUUGGAGAGCAUGGGUUCAGAUAAAACAAGAAAUCUGAGAGAAUAUAUGCUCACAUGGCGGCCAUGGCUACUUCUGGGUUGCGGUAUCAUGCCUUUCUUCCUUCCCUCCCUUCCUCCUUCCUUCUUUCCUUUCUCCUUUCUCUUUGAAUUUUCCAAAUAUUCUCCAAUAAGCAUGUAUGAGUUGUGGCAUUUUCAGAAAUGUCCGCUGGGUUCUCUGGGUGCCACUGAGUGGAUGUGCAGACCCUAAAGCCUCUUCUUGUUCCAGCCUUGGCCCACGUCCUGCAGGGCCCUGGUGUGACUUGCUGCUCUGGCUCUGCAGUAGAUGAGAACGCUUUGAAAAUCAGACCUGGUCCUUACUGCCCAAGUGACCCUGGGAAACUUAGUUACCCGAUGACCCUCAGAUGUCUUGUCUAUGAAAUAAGGAACUUGAUACUGCCUGUCUGCCAGCCCUGCGGUCAAACGAGGGAAUGGUGUGUUGUCAAACGAGGCCAAAUGAGACGGUAAAUGGAAAAGUGUUUGUCAACUGUAAACAAUGUGCGAUUGUUCCCUCUUAUCACAAUUUCCUUGCUGUCCACACAGGAACAGGAGAGGUCGAGAGCGCCCAAGCCUAGGGUGGCAGGGCUGCUCCUUACAAGUGGCUUAUGGGUGCGUGUGGGCAUCAACAUUCACUUUUGACAGAAAUGCUGUUAUCUAAAUCAGAAUUUCUCUGGUUGUCUCAAAAAGGUCUUUCUAGUUAUUUUUUCCCCAAUUCAGUAUUUAACUUAAAAAGGCUUUCAGAAACCCUAGCUGUGAAAUGUGAGGAAAGUGAUUACAAGCAGAAGGACAGCUUAUGAAGUGUCCUGAGUUGUAGCUGAAUGUGGGUCCUGGCUACAGGGUUGAAUUCCUAUAUAGCACUGGGGCCACAGCACAUUCAAAAGCCAGAAUCUCUGAGUUCUUGUCGUGGCUCAGCAGGAAACAAACCUGACUAGUAUCCCUGAGGACACAGGUUCGAUCUCUGGCCUUGUUCAGUGGGUUAAGAACUGGUCUUGCUGUGAGAUGUGGUGUAAGUCACAGAUGCAGCUUGAAUCUGGCUUUGCUGUGGCUGUGGCGUAGGCCAGCAGCUGUAGCUCUGAUGAGACCCCUAGCCUGGGAAACUUUGUAUGCUGUGGAUGCGGCCCUAAAAAGAAAAAAAAAAAAAAA